CAUCACAUCUUAUUUGCUUUUUUUGAUAACUUAUUUAUAUAAAACAAACAUCUAUAUUUUAUUUUUUCAUUUUUCUUACAAAAUCUCAUCCUCUCAUGACUCUUUCUUUUUAAUCUUCAACUCUUUCUUUUCUCUCUCAUCUUUUCUUUUGUCACUCCAUUUUUAAUCAAACCUCAUUAGUUUUAAUUUAUUGAUGUUUUCUUCUAUCUUUUAAUUUUGUUUUUGCCCAUUAAAUUGGAAAAAGUUAAAAAAGAAUUAUUUUUCUUUAACCCAAAUUAUUUAAUGCCACAACCACUCACUUUUAUCUCAUUUUUUGUUUCUUAUCAAGUUUGCAUUUUUAUUUUCAAUUCUCUUAACUUCUUUCGAACUUCAAACUUUCUUUUUUAAAUUACAAUCUUUAAAUCUCAAAGACGUAAAUUAAAAUUUAAAUUCACAAUAUCAAAUUCUCAUAGACGUGAAUUUGUAUAAUUUCAAAAUAUUGUGAUAUUUUUGGGUUGGAUUUAAGAUUUUUUUGGUAGAUAUAAUUGAAAUUGAGAUGAAAUUUAUUUGUUUUAACUUAUAAUUUAAAUAAUUUAUUUUUGAAAAUCCAAAUUAUUCAAAAAUAGUGAACUUUUCAUCAUAUAAAGUUUUAAAUUAGUCCAU
This 642-nucleotide long non-coding RNA is filed under the name Coffea arabica (coffee). RNAcentral's name for it is "long non-coding RNA (CARA_LNC001163)". The record is from RNAcentral. Lineage: Eukaryota; Viridiplantae; Streptophyta; Magnoliopsida; Gentianales; Rubiaceae.